UGGCGGCAUGCCUUGCACAUGCAAGUCGAACGGCAGCACGGGAGCAAUCUGGUGGCGAGUGGCGAACGGUGAGUAAUAUAUCGGAACGUGCCCAGUCGUGGGGGAUAACGUAGCGAAAGCUACGCUAAUACCGCAUACGAUCUAUGGAUGAAAGCGGGGGGAUCGCAAGACCUCGCGCGAUUGGAGCGGCCGAUAUCAGAUUAGCUAGUUGGUGGGGUAAAGGCUCACCAAGGCGAUGAUGGAUAGCCGGCCUGAGAGGGUGAACGGCCACAUUGGAACUGAGAAACGGUCCAGACUCCUACGGGAGGCAGCAGUGAGGAAUAUUGCACAAUGGGCGAAAGCCUGAUGCAGCGACACCGCGUGAAGGAUGAAGGUCUUAGGAUUGUAAACUUCUGUUAAGUGGGAAAAAAGACUUGCUUCAAAUAAAAGCAAGGGAUGAUGGUACCACUAGAGAAAGCACCGGCUAACUUCGUG
RNAcentral lists this ribosomal RNA (474 nucleotides) under uncultured bacterium. Its description in RNAcentral is "bacterial SSU rRNA". It matches the Rfam family "Bacterial small subunit ribosomal RNA", at positions 37 to 507 of the family's 1533-position model. The record is from RNAcentral.